This 440-nucleotide ribosomal RNA is filed under the name uncultured bacterium. RNAcentral's name for it is "partial 16S ribosomal RNA". It matches the Rfam family "Bacterial small subunit ribosomal RNA", at positions 338 to 795 of the family's 1533-position model. The record is from RNAcentral.
CCUACGGGUGGCAGCAGUGGGGAAUAUUGCACAAUGGGGGAAACCCUGAUGCAGCGACGCCGCGUGAGCGAAGAAGUAUCUCGGUAUGGAAAGCUCUAUCAGCAGGGAAGAAAAUGACGGUACCUGACUAAGAAUCCCCGGCUAAAUACGUGCCAGCAGCCGCGGGAAUACGCAGGGAGCAAGCGUUAUCCGGAUUUACUGGGUGUAAAGGGAGCGCAGGCGGGGCGGUAAGUCUGAUGUGAAAGCCCGGGGAUCAACCCCAGGACUGCAUUGGAUACUGUCGAGCUGGAGUGUCGGAGGGGUACGUGGAAGUCCUGGUGUAGCGGUGAAAGGCGUAGAUAUUAGGAGGAACACCAGUGGCGAAGGCGGCUUACUGGACUGUAACUGACGUUGAGGCUCGAAAGCGUGGGGAGCAAACAGGAUUAGAUACCCGAGUAGUC